This 601-nucleotide ribosomal RNA is filed under the name Parahalioglobus pacificus. Its description in RNAcentral is "bacterial SSU rRNA". It matches the Rfam family "Bacterial small subunit ribosomal RNA", at positions 63 to 662 of the family's 1533-position model. The record is from RNAcentral. Lineage: Bacteria; Pseudomonadati; Pseudomonadota; Gammaproteobacteria; Cellvibrionales; Halieaceae.
CGAGCGAGAAAGCCCUUCGGGGUGAGUAUAGCGGCGGACGGGUGAGUAACGCGUAGGAAUCUACCUGGUAGUGGGGGACAACAUGUGGAAACGCAUGCUAAUACCGCAUACGCCCUACGGGGGAAAGCGGGGGACCUUCGGGCCUCGUGCUAUCAGAUGAGCCUGCGUAAGAUUAGCUAGUUGGUGGGGUAAAGGCUCACCAAGGCGACGAUCUUUAGCUGGUCUGAGAGGAUGAUCAGCCACACUGGGACUGAGACACGGCCCAGACUCCUACGGGAGGCAGCAGUGGGGAAUAUUGCGCAAUGGGCGAAAGCCUGACGCAGCCAUGCCGCGUGUGUGAAGAAGGCCUUAGGGUUGUAAAGCACUUUCAAUUGGGAGGAAAGGUUAUGCGUUAAUAGCGUAUAACUGUGACGUUACCUUUAGAAGAAGCACCGGCUAACUCCGUGCCAGCAGCCGCGGUAAUACGGAGGGUGCGAGCGUUAAUCGGAAUUACUGGGCGUAAAGCGCGCGUAGGCGGUUUAUUAAGUCGGAUGUGAAAGCCCCGGGCUCAACCUGGGAACUGCAUCCGAUACUGGUCGACUAGAGUACGAGAGAGGGAGGU